RNAcentral lists this microRNA precursor (178 nucleotides) under Oryza brachyantha (malo sina). RNAcentral describes it as "MIR812 microRNA precursor family". It matches the Rfam family "MIR812 microRNA precursor family", at positions 19 to 188 of the family's 205-position model. The record is from Rfam by way of RNAcentral. Lineage: Eukaryota; Viridiplantae; Streptophyta; Magnoliopsida; Poales; Poaceae.
UUUAUUUUUCCGUAUUCAACAUUUAACUAUUCGUUUUAUUUGAAAUUUUUUAUGAUUAAUAUUUUUAUUAUUAUUAGAUGACAAAAUAUGAAUAGUACUUUAUACGUGAUUAAUUUUUUAAAGUUUUUUUUAUAAAUUUUUUAAAUAAUACGAAUGGUCAAACGUUAAAUAUGAAAAA